Molecule: ribosomal RNA, 465 nt
Filed under: uncultured Leuconostoc sp.
Lineage: Bacteria; Bacillati; Bacillota; Bacilli; Lactobacillales; Lactobacillaceae
Description: bacterial SSU rRNA
Rfam family: Bacterial small subunit ribosomal RNA
Source: RNAcentral
CCUACGGGAGGCAGCAGUAGGGAAUCUUCGGCAAUGGGGGCAACCCUGACCGAGCAACGCCGCGUGUGUGAUGAAGGCUUUCGGGUCGUAAAGCACUGUUGUAUGGGAAGAACAGCUAGAAUAGGAAAUGAUUUUAGUUUGACGGUACCAUACCAGAAAGGGACGGCUAAAUACGUGCCAGCAGCCGCGGUAAUACGUAUGUCCCGAGCGUUAUCCGGAUUUAUUGGGCGUAAAGCGAGCGCAGACGGUUUAUUAAAUCUGAUGUGAAAGCCCGGAGCUCAACUCCAGAAUGGCAGUGGAAACUGGUUAACUUGAGGGCAGUAGAGGUGAGUGGAACUCCAUGUGUAGCGGUGGAAUGCGUAGAUAUAUGGAAGAACACCAGUGGCGAAGGCGGCUUACUGGACUGCAACUGACGUUGAGGCUCGAAAGUGUGGGUAGCAAACAGGAUUAGAUACCCCAGUAGUC